This 914-nucleotide ribosomal RNA is filed under the name Amylostereum areolatum. Its description in RNAcentral is "LSU rRNA". It matches the Rfam family "Eukaryotic large subunit ribosomal RNA", at positions 37 to 939 of the family's 3401-position model. The record is from RNAcentral. Lineage: Eukaryota; Fungi; Basidiomycota; Agaricomycetes; Russulales; Stereaceae.
UACAUAUCAAUAAGCGGAGGAAAAGAAACUAACAAGGAUUCCCCUAGUAACUGCGAGUGAAGCGGGAAAAGCUCAAAUUUAAAAUCUGGCGUCUUCGGGCGUCCGAGUUGUAGUUUAGAGAAGCGUUUUCCGCGCCGGACCGUGUACAAGUCUCCUGGAACGGAGCGUCAUAGAGGGUGAGAAUCCCGUCUUUGACACGGACUACCGGUGCUCUGUGAUGCGCUCUCAAAGAGUCGAGUUGUUUGGGAAUGCAGCUCAAAAUGGGUGGUGAAUUCCAUCUAAAGCUAAAUAUUGGCGAGAGACCGAUAGCGAACAAGUACCGUGAGGGAAAGAUGAAAAGCACUUUGGAAAGAGAGUUAAACAGUACGUGAAAUUGUUGAAAGGGAAACGCUUGAAGUCAGUCGCGUUCGCCGGGACUCAGCCUUGCUUCGGCUCGGUGUACUUCCCGGUGUACGGGCCAGCAUCACUUUUGAUCGUCGGAAAAGGGCGGGGGAAAGGUGGCACCUUCGGGUGUGUUAUAGUCCCUUGUCGUAUACGAUGGUUGGGAGUGAGGAACUCAGCACGCCUUACGGUCGGGGUUCGCCCACGUUCGUGCUUAGGAUGCUGGYGUAAUGGCUUUAAACGACCCGUCUUGAAACACGGACCAAGGAGUCUAACAUGCCCGCGAGUGUUCGGGUGGAAAACCCGUGCGCGUAAUGAAAGUGAAAGUUGGGACCUCUGUCGUGGAGGGCACCGACGCCCGGACCAGACCUUCUGUGACGGUUCUGCGGUAGAGCGUGUAUGUUGGGACCCGAAAGAUGGUGAACUAUGCCUGAAUAGGGUGAAGCCAGAGGAAACUCUGGUGGAGGCUCGUAGCGAUUCUGACGUGCAAAUCGAUCGUCAAAUUUGGGUAUAGGGGCGAAAGACUAAUCGAA